Molecule: ribosomal RNA, 529 nt
Filed under: Celebargiolestes sp. BOLD:ACG1206
Lineage: Eukaryota; Metazoa; Arthropoda; Insecta; Odonata; Argiolestidae
Description: partial 16S ribosomal RNA
Rfam family: Bacterial large subunit ribosomal RNA
Source: RNAcentral
GUCUUCUUGUUUUUAUUUGAAGUCUGACCUGCCCGGUGAGUUUUUAACGGCCGCGGUAUUUUGACCGUGCAAAGGUAGCAUAAUCAUUUGUCUUUUAAUUGAAGGCUGGAAUGAAGGGUUUAACGAGGUAAUGACUGUCUCAUAUUUAAAUCAUUUAAAAUUUAAUUUUUGAGUUAAAAAGCUCAAAUUUUAUUGUAAGACGAGAAGACCCUAUAGAGCUUUAUGAUUAAAUUAUUAUCUUUUUUUGUUUAUUAUUAUUUUUUUAUUAGUUUAAUUUUUUUGUUGGGGUGACAAGUGAAUAUAAUUAACUUUUAUAUUUUAUUUACUCUUAUAAGUGAAUAAUAGAUCCAUUAUUAAUGAUCAUUAGAAUAAGUUACCUUAGGGAUAACAGCGUAAUCUUUUUUUGAAGCUCAAAUUUAUAAAAAGGCUUGCGACCUCGAUGUUGGAUUAAGAUAAUAGUUAGGUGUAGCAGCUUAAUUUAUAGGUCUGUUCGACCUUUAAAUUCUUACAUGAUCUGAGUUCAGACCGG